CCUACGGGGGGCAGCAGUGGGGAAUAUUGGACAAUGGGGGGAACCCUGAUCCAGCCAUGCCGCGUGUGUGAAGAAGGCCCUCGGGUUGUAAAGCACUUUCAGUGAGGAAGAACGCCUGGUGGUUAAUACCCAUCAGGAAAGACAUCACUCACAGAAGAAGCACCGGCUAACUCCGUGCCAGCAGCCGCGGUAAUACGGAGGGUGCGAGCGUUAAUCGGAAUUACUGGGCGUAAAGCGCGCGUAGGUGGCUUGAUAAGCCGGUUGUGAAAGCCCCGGGCUCAACCUGGGAACGGCAUCCGGAACUGUCCAGCUAGAGUGCAGGAGAGGAAGGUAGAAUUCCCGGUGUAGCGGUGAAAUGCGUAGAGAUCGGGAGGAAUACCAGUGGCGAAGGCGGCCUUCUGGACUGACACUGACACUGAGGUGCGAAAGCGUGGGUAGCAAACAGGAUUAGAUACCCCAGUAGUC
Molecule: ribosomal RNA, 465 nt
Filed under: Vreelandella stevensii
Lineage: Bacteria; Pseudomonadati; Pseudomonadota; Gammaproteobacteria; Oceanospirillales; Halomonadaceae
Description: partial 16S ribosomal RNA
Rfam family: Bacterial small subunit ribosomal RNA
Source: RNAcentral